AUGUUUGCUUAUCAUGUCCUAUCUCUCAUGCUAUUGUGAUUGGUUUUAUUUUAUUAAAAACUGCUCAUAGCAUAGCCAGGUGAUCUAUGUGAACAUCAACAGUGAUAAGCUGACAGUAUGUACCCUGGAUACAUGAUGAGAAUGGCACUUUAGCUACACGGACUUCCUCCCCAGUGCUCAUAAACCCAGUCUAAUCAUGAGAAAAACAGACAAAUAUCAAUAUAGGAACAUUUGGCAAAAUACCCAGUGAGUACUUUUCAAAACUACCAAGGUCAUCAAAAACGAGAAAAGGCUGAGAAACUGUCAAAGCCAAGAGAAGCCUGUAGAGACAUGACCACUGCAUGGGGUGCGGCACCCUGGAUGGGCCCUAAACAUGCGGUGCGGCACCCUGGAUGGGGCCCUAAACAUGGGGUGCGGCACCCUGGAUGGGGCCCUAAACAUGAUGUGCGGCACCCUGGAUGGGGCCCUAAACAUGGGGUGCGGCACCCUGGAAGGGGCCCUAAACAUGAGUUGCGGCACCCUGGCUGGGCCCUAAACAUGGGGUGCGGCACCCUGGAAGGGGCCCUAAACAUGGGGUGCGGCACCCUGGAUGGACCCU
Molecule: long non-coding RNA, 598 nt
Filed under: Homo sapiens (human)
Lineage: Eukaryota; Metazoa; Chordata; Mammalia; Primates; Hominidae
Description: HSALNT0252181
Source: RNAcentral